This 196-nucleotide unclassified non-coding RNA is filed under the name uncultured fungus. Its description in RNAcentral is "sequence contains ITS2". RNAcentral also lists the same sequence under 1 other name. Lineage: Eukaryota; Fungi. The record is from RNAcentral.
AAAUAAACUUCAAGCCACUUUAUUGUGCCUUGGUCUUGAGGGAUGAGCGCAGGUAAGAUCAUGUCUAAUUGCUGCUCACCCAUCGAAUUCCAGUGGCGGAAUCAAACACGGAUUGUCUUGGUGUGAUAAGUUUUUUCACGUCACCAAUCAGCUCGUAUUAUAUUCUAGCCAAUUCAAACUCCCCUCUGUCUUUAAU